RNAcentral lists this long non-coding RNA (1725 nucleotides) under Trifolium pratense (red clover). Its description in RNAcentral is "long non-coding RNA (TPRA_LNC004622)". Lineage: Eukaryota; Viridiplantae; Streptophyta; Magnoliopsida; Fabales; Fabaceae. The record is from RNAcentral.
UAAAUUCUACCUGAGGCAGAGUUAGGACUAGUUUAGGCACACAUGACAGCUUGUGACACAUUGAGCCUUAAAGGUAAUGAUACCAAAGUUUGUAACGAAAAAGUGGAACCGGCUGAGGCUAUGAUAUUUAAGUAGAGUAGGUGAUGACAGCCAAUUAUAUGAUGAUUUUAGUAGUAAAUUAGAGUAGUUUUAAUAGUAAUUGAAGUCCAAAAGUAAGCAAAUACCAAGAAAAGUGAAGUUACAAGACCCAGAAGCAAGAAAAGUGGAAAAAGCAGCAAAAAAAGGCAAAAAUUGAAGAAAAUCUGCAGAAAAUCUUUUCCAUCGUGGCACGAUGAUGACUUGAAGAAUACGCAUAAAACCCUGAGAAGAUCUUCCAUCGCACCACGAUAGGAUCCAUCGUGGCCACGAUGAGGCGAAUAUACACGCCAUCGUGGUCACGAUGGUUGCGAUGGAUGCGCAGAAAAAGCUCAAACCCAGCUGAAAAACUAUAAAUAAAGUCUCCUUCCUCCACUAUUAUUCAUUCAAAAACAUUCAGAAAUAUUGAGACAUGUUCAAUAUUCACUCUAAAGUAGGAGAACUCUAAGGAGAAGGCAUGUCCUCUAGAGUAUUUUUUGUGCAUUUUUUUAUAAGUUUCCUUCCACAUGUUUAGGGAACUCAUGAUCGUAUCAGAACUCCAAGGCCAACAAGGUUAGGUGGAGUCGAUGAACUCCCUUACGAAUGCUUGGUUUGUAAUUUAUAUAUUUUUGGUAUAAAUUCAAUUGUUUCUACUAUAAACUUUUUUAUCGUCUGGUUUUAUAUUUAUUUUAGUAUUGAUCACAUUAGAAGAAAAUCUAAGGACCUAGUGGAUAUCGCAUAGGAAACGAAACUAGUAAUCCCGAACGAAGGACGGUAUGCUAGAGCCAACAUGAGACCAUUAAAUUCAGUAUUUGAGGUCUUAGUAUAGGAUUGGAACGCACAAUAAUUUCUACCUUACAGAGUUGCUUGUGGGUAAGUGACUAGUUUUAGGCACACUUGACAGCUUAUGACACACGGAGUCACCGAGGUAAUGAUACCAACCUUAUAUACAAAAAAGUGGAACUUCGGGGCGAUGAUGCUUAAAUAGAGUAAGGGUAACCUUUAACUAGGCGUUGUAUAACUUGUAAUAGAAAUAGGAACAGAUAGUGCUUCAAACCUAUUUUCAACAGUCUAAGUUCUAAUAGAGGGAAAUAAUUGAGCAACCAAGCAGGAGUAAGGGAGAGAUCCGACCACACUUAACCACCCCGUGUGGUCACACACACACCUUUUACUUUUCAGUCAUUUAAUUUCAGCAUUUAUUUCCUGUCAUUUACUAAUUACCCGCAAAGAUACCUUCUCAAAACAAAUAAAGCGAAGACAACUACAAUAUUCUUAAGCGAAAUUAGUAACCUUGGCACAAUCCUUGUGGAGAACGAUAAACUUAUCACUUUAUUACUUGGUAGCGAUUCUGUGCACUUGCAGAACCACCGUCAGUAGGGCAACCUAAACUAGGCUCUGAACAGUUUGUAAUAGAAAUAGGGAACAAGUGCUUCCGAACCUAUUUUAGAAGACUAAUCCUGAUAGAGGGAAACAAGGGAAUUAACCACCAAACAGGAGUAAGGGAUGGAUUCGAAAACACUUAACCACCCUGCGUGGACACACACACACCUUUUAUUUAUUCUUUCAGUCAUUUAUUUUCCUGCAAUUUAUUUUAUCAGCACAACUAUCUCC